CGACUAUCACCAGCCUCCAGCUUAGUGCCCCAAUAUAAACGUUCUCCAGCCAAGCAUCUUAAUACCCACAUUCUCCAAAAUCCCCAAUCUCAGCAACUUCAAUCCAACCAUCCCCAAUCUCAGCUUUUCUAAUAUCCGCCACGUUAAUAUUGCAAGUUUCUAAUAUCUGCCACGUUAAUAUUACACGUUUCUAAUAUCUGCCACGUUAAUAUUGCACGUUUCUAAUAUCUGCCACGUUAAUAUUACACGUUUCUAAUAUCUGCCACAUUAAUAUUGCACGUUUCUAAUAUCUGCCAUGUUAAUAUUACACGUUUAUAAUAUCCGCAACGUUAAUAUUACACGUUUAUAAUAUCUGCC
Molecule: non-coding RNA, 357 nt
Organism: Pelobates cultripes (western spadefoot toad)
Lineage: Eukaryota; Metazoa; Chordata; Amphibia; Anura; Pelobatidae
Source: the annotation of a GenBank genome assembly